CGGACCGUGGCUCAAUUGGAGGAGCGCCUGCUCUGCAAGCAGGAGGUGGGAGUUCGAUUCUCUCCGGUCCUG
Molecule: non-coding RNA, 72 nt
Organism: Chitinophaga eiseniae
Lineage: Bacteria; Pseudomonadati; Bacteroidota; Chitinophagia; Chitinophagales; Chitinophagaceae
Source: Rfam